AUAUUAAGAAUGGAAGCCAUCUUCAAGCUCUCAUCAAAAGCUUCCAUCUCCGCCCAAUCCGCACUCAUCAUCUUUUCUUUAAAACCACUGCUGCCCCCGAUAACAAAACCUUUCGAAUCUCUAGCUAUGACACCAAACCCCACUCUUCCAUUCAGGACCGCAGCGUCGAAGUUGAUCUUUAUAUAACCAUAAGGGGGCUUCAUUCAAGUUUUGCUCACCGGGGUCGGAGGGAUCACAGGUCUUUCAUUCAGUUCCAGAGGAGAAUAAAAAAGUCCGCUGCAGCCUUAACGUCCAACUCUCUAAGGACAUCUUCCAACCAGUCAAUGCACCGGUCAUAGCUCCCUUCGAUCAGCCGAUUAUUAAGUCCCCCGAAAGUUAGAAUUUCAUGAGCCAAAGGGCAGUCUUUCAGUGCAUGAAUCAGCGUCUCCUCUCUGUUCUUGCACCUAGGGCAGAUUUUAGAACAGUUCUAACGAAUCCGAGAGAUGUUAUCAUAAGUUGGAAGAAUAUUAUGACCGACCCUCCAGCUGAAAACCCGAAUCUUAGGAAGCAUUUUUUAGUUUCCAAAUGGUUCUCCAAAAUGCUCUGUGAGGACCAAACCCUAUCUUCUUGAGGGAAAGCCAAGAAUAAGCCGACUUGAACUGUAAAAACCAUGAGGAUUAUGACACCACACCCUUCUGUCAGUAACACCAUUGUGCAAAUGGGUAAAUUACAGAUUUGAUCCCCCAGUAAAUUACCAUAAAGUUCGAUCACCUCAUCUCUAUUCCAAUUCAUGCGGUCGUGGUCCCACAGGUCUUGCGCUUUUCUUUCAUUGUUGGUCAACAAAGACUGACAAAUAGAAUCACCAUUAAGGCUUUCAAAACCCCAAUUGUCCCUUCGAAUAUCAAUUGUUUUUCCGUCCCCGACAAGCCAAACAAAACCCUCUUGAAGAGCUUCGGCGGCCUUAGCUAUACUGGACCAAGUGUACGAGGGGGUGUCACAAUCUUUUGGCCGAAAAACGUCCCCAUCAGGAAAGUUCUUGGCACUAGGCACCUUGAAGCAUAAAGUAUCUUUAAAAUGCAUUAGUCUCCACACCUGUCUACCAAGAAGGGCCAAGUUGAAAAGGUGCAAGUCCCGGAAACCAAGACCCCCCAUACCUUGCGGGUGGCACAUUCUAUCCCACGCCAUCAUGGCCCACCCCACGGUUCUUCUCGUUACUCGUCCACCACAUGAGACUCAUCUUCGAUUGUAGCUUUUCAAUGAUUCCUUUAGGCGCAAGGAAGACAGAAAAAGCAUAUGUCGGAAUAGAUUGGAGAAUGGCUUUAAUGAAGAUCUCUUUCCCACCGUAUGAAAUGAGUCUUUUCGACCAACUCUUUAUCCUACAGAACAACGGUUCAUAAUAUUAGUAAAA
This is a long non-coding RNA of Gossypium raimondii (Peruvian cotton), 1387 nucleotides long. RefSeq lists it as uncharacterized. The transcript has 2 exons. Lineage: Eukaryota; Viridiplantae; Streptophyta; Magnoliopsida; Malvales; Malvaceae. The record is from RefSeq and is a predicted model, not a curated record.